Molecule: ribosomal RNA, 235 nt
Filed under: uncultured bacterium
Lineage: Bacteria
Description: partial 16S ribosomal RNA
Rfam family: Bacterial small subunit ribosomal RNA
Source: RNAcentral
UGGGCAACCUGCCCCUCUCUCUGGGAUAACCCCCGGGGAAACCGGAGCUAAUACCGGAUACUCCGGCUGGAUCGCAUGGUCCGGCCGGGAAAGGUCCGCCGGAGAGGGAUGGGCCCGCGGCCUAUCAGCUUGUUGGUGAGGUAAUGGCUCACCAAGGCGACGACGGGUAGCCGGCCUGAGAGGGUGAUCGGCCACAUUGGAACUGAGACACGGUCCAGACUCCUACGGGAGGCAG